Long non-coding RNA from Phasianus colchicus (ring-necked pheasant), 1669 nucleotides. The record is from Ensembl. Lineage: Eukaryota; Metazoa; Chordata; Aves; Galliformes; Phasianidae.
UUGGCCAACACCCCCACCAACCCCAUCCCCUCCAACUCCUCCAACGCCGCCCGGUCGUAAGCGAAGGCGGCCAAAGCCAACAGCACCCUUGGGUGCCAACCCCGAGCUUUUGGGUCCCCCAAGAGGGUCACCAGGGUCCCCAACCCCCCUGCCGCCCUCACCUUGGCCCGGUUGACGGCUUCACGGCACAGAAGGCAAAGAGCCCGCAAUGCCGGGCCGCCGCCGUGGCAAGGGGCUCCAGUGGGGGGCAAACGUUUGCCGAUGGGCCUUUGGGGGACGAUGGAACCACCAGGAGCACCAGCAUGGCCGCCACCACCAACCACGCGGCUGCCGGCAACGUGGCUGCCAACAUGGCUGCCAAGCCUGGCGUCGUCACCGACGCCAUCGUGGCUGCCAACAAUAUGGCCGCCACCAACAUGGCUGCCAGCCCCAUGGUCAUCACCAACGCUAGCAUGGCUGCCAACCCCGUGACUGCCACCAACAUGGCCGCCAACCCUAGAAUCAUCGCCAACACCAAUAUGGCCGCCAACCCCAUGGUCAUCGCCAACACCAUCAUGGCUGCCAGCAACAUGGCUGCCAGCAACAUGGCCGCCAGCAACAUGGCUGCCACCAACAUGGCCGCCAACCCCAUGGCCACCCCCAACACCAUCAUGGCCACCACCACCAACCCCAUGGCUACCCCCAACAUGGCUGCCACCAAGAUGGCCACCACCGCCAACGCCAUGGCUGCCAACAACAUGGCGGCCGCCAACAUGGCCGCCAUCCCCAUGGCCACCACCAACCCCACGACCACCCCCAAGACCACCAUGACCGCCAUGAUGGCCACCACCACCACGAUGGCGACCAGCACCACCAUGAUGGCGACCACCACCACCUCCAUCCCCACCACCUCCACCAUCACGACCACCAUGAUGGCAACCAUCACCACCAUGAUUGCAACCACCAUCACUUCCAUCUCGACCACCACGAUGACCACCACGAUGGCCACCAUGAUGGCCACCACCAUCACCUCCAUCCCCACCACCACGAUGGCCACCACGACGUCCACCAUCAUCGCCUCCAUCUCCAUCCCCACCACCUCCACCGCAGUGACGACCGCCAUGACGGCCACCACCACCACCACCUCCGUCCCCACCGCCCCCACCACCCCAAUGACCCCCACCCCCCCGACCCCCCUCCCCAUUUCCACCUUCCACCAUCCUCAUCACCUCCCUGGUCACCACCUCCACGGCCCCGACGCAACCCAAAGCCGGCCGCAGCGCCGCCCGGUGGCACAAAUUAGCAAUGGCGGCUAAGGCCGGACGCCGGCGAUCUCGUUCAGGAGAUUCUGCUAAUUGAGUGAGGGUCCGAAGGGCCGGGAUGGCGUCGUCCAAAGAUGAACUCGGGGGUUCCGUCAGGUGCCGCAGGGCUCGGGUGACCGAAGUGCAAGCCGGGUGGGUCGGGGGUAAAGUGGCCAAACGGGAAGCCACGGCACGGAGAGCGCCGGCGCGGCAAAGGGAGGCACGGGAGGAUGGAGAGGAAGCCAGGAUGCGGAGAGCGCGGGAGGAGCUGUGCAGGCACUCCGGGGUGGUGCAGGUGGAGGUGAGAGACACCAGGAGGGGAACGGCACCUGGAAGGGGGGGAGAGAAAGGGGGGGCUAGAACCUGUGGUGGUGGAGAAUCCAUUAGGG